Molecule: ribosomal RNA, 538 nt
Filed under: uncultured bacterium
Lineage: Bacteria
Description: bacterial SSU rRNA
Rfam family: Bacterial small subunit ribosomal RNA
Source: RNAcentral
AAUAGAUACCCAGGUAGUCCACGCCGUAAACGUUGGGCGCUAGGUGUGGGACUCAUUCCACGAGUUCCGUGCCGCAGCUAACGCAUUAAGCGCCCCGCCUGGGGAGUACGGCCGCAAGGCUAAAACUCAAAGGAAUUGACGGGGGCCCGCACAAGCGGCGGAGCAUGUGGAUUAAUUCGAUGCAACGCGAAGAACCUUACCAAGGCUUGACAUAUACCGGAAACACUCAGAGAUGGGUGCCCCGCAAGGUCGGUAUACAGGUGGUGCAUGGUUGUCGUCAGCUCGUGUCGUGAGAUGUUGGGUUAAGUCCCGCAACGAGCGCAACCCUCGUUCUAUGUUGCCAGCGCGUCAUGGCGGGGACUCAUAGAAGACUGCCGGGGUCAACUCGGAGGAAGGUGGGGAUGACGUCAAAUCAUCAUGCCCCUUAUGUCUUGGGCUUCACACAUGCUACAAUGGCCGGUACAAAGGGCUGCGAAACCGCGAGGUGGAGCGAAUCCCAAAAAACCGGUCUCAGUUCGGAUUGGGGUCUGCAACUCCG